This 73-nucleotide transfer RNA is filed under the name Callopistes maculatus. Its description in RNAcentral is "tRNA-Thr". Lineage: Eukaryota; Metazoa; Chordata; Lepidosauria; Squamata; Teiidae. The record is from RNAcentral.
GUUGUAGUAGUGUAGACCCAACAACACGUCGGCCUUGUAAACCGAAAAGGGGACGCCAACAUCCCCUACAACU